AGAGUUUGAUCCUGGCUCAGGACGAACGCUGGCGGCGCGCCUAACACAUGCAAGUCGAACGAGAGAGAAGGAGCUUGCUUCUUCGAUCGAGUGGCGAACGGGUCGGAGUAACGCGUGAGGAACCUGCCUCAAAGAGGGGGACAACAGUUGGAAACGACUGCUAAUACCGCAUAAGCCCACGGGUCGGCAUCGAUCUGAGGGAAAAGGAGCAAUCCGCUUUGAGAUGGCCUCGCGUCCGAUUAGCUAGUUGGUGAGGUAACGGCCCACCAAAGCGACGAUCGGUAGCCGGACUGAGAGGUUGAACGGCCACAUUGGGACUGAGACACGGUCCAAACUCCUACGAGAGGCAGCA
Molecule: ribosomal RNA, 352 nt
Filed under: uncultured bacterium
Lineage: Bacteria
Description: bacterial SSU rRNA
Rfam family: Bacterial small subunit ribosomal RNA
Source: RNAcentral